UCUCAAACUCCUGAUCUCAGGUGAUCCACCCCUCUCAGCCUCCCAAAGUGCUGGGAUUACAAAGUGCUAGAAUUAUAGGCGUGAGCCACCUUGCCACACCAUCUCCAGCCAUUUCUAAUUGUCCCCUCCAGCAUCCCCCAUGAGCUCACUCUGCAACCUGAGCUAGUUGUGUUGGCCCCGUCCUUGCAUCUGUGCUGAUUACUCCCAGGACCUUGCUACUUCCAGUUCUUAUAUGUUAAUCCUCUCUUCUCUGGCAUCUCUGAGCUCCACCAGUAGGCUUGUCUUAGGGGCCUCUGAUCAAACACAUCUCUGAACUAUACACAUUCGUGGAGCUUUGGGGUCAGGAGGCAGAUCCAGUCCCAUUUCUGGCAUUGACUGGCUGGUCCCUUGGCUUCUCUGAGCCUCUUUCUUCAUCAGUAAAAUGGUGAAAAACACAGUAUGAACCUCGCAGGGUGGAAAGCUCCAUGGGCAUGUGUAUUUAUAAAACAUAUGUGCUGGCCAACCACAGCAGCACAAGCCUGUGAUCCCAGCACUUUGGGAGGCUGAGGCAGGAGGAUUGCUUGAGCUCAGGAGAUUGAGAUCAGUCUGGACAACAAAGUGAGACUCCCCCAUCCCUAUACAAAAUAAAAACAAUAGGCUGGGCGCGGUGGCUCAUGCCUGUAGUCCUAGCACUUUGGGAAGCUGAGGCGGGCAGAUCAUGAGGUCAGGAGAUUGAGACCAUCCUGGCUAUUACGGUGAAACCCCACCUCUACUAAAAAUACAAAUAGUUAGCCAGGUGUUGGGCAUGCUCCUGUAGUCCCAGCUACUGUUGAGGCUGAGGCAGGAGAAUCGCUUGAAGCCGGGAGGCAGAGGUUGCAGUGAGCUGAGUCUCAUCACUCCAGCCUAGGUGACGGAGCAAGACUCUGUCUCAAAAUAAAUAAAUAAAUAAAAAUAAAAACAAUAAUAAAAUUAUCUGGAUGUGGUGGCACGUAUUUGUAGUCCUAACUACUCGAGAGACUGAGGCAAGAGGAUUGCUUGAGCCUCAGAAUAUGUGUCCACUGGAAGAGGUGACACAUCAGAAUGGGACCUUGGGGCUGGGCGCAGUCGCUCACACCUGUAAUCCCAGCACUUUGGGAGGCCAUGGCGGGUGGAUCACCUGAGGUCAGGAAUUCCAGACCAGCCUGACCAACAUGGUGAAAACCUGUCUCUACUAGAAAUACAAAAAUUAGCCAGGCGUGGUGGCGCAUGACUGUAAUCCCAGCUGCUGAGGGAUUGGAGGCUGAGGCGGAAAAAUCUCUUGAACCUGGGAGGCAGAGGUUGCAGUGAGCCGAGAUUGCGCCACUACGUUCCAGCCUGGAUGACAGAGAAAGACUCCAUGUCAAAAAAAAAAAAAAAAAAAAAACCAAACAAAAGAAUGGGACCUUGGAAAGCAGGGUGAGGGACUUUUGCAUUGUCAUAAUUGGUGGCGUAUAUCAAGAGAAGUAUGAAGCUCUGUUAGCAAGGGCAGUGCGAUAGUUCCCAGUGCCGGUGAGGGCUUUGUCUGCAAAGGCAGAGCCUUGUAGACAGUGUAGAAAAAGCGGAUGGGAAUAUGGUCCCAGGGCUGACAAACUGGGAUGGCUGAGUAGGCAGUAGAGGAAAGGGAACAACAGGUCCAGCCACGGGAGACAAGUGUAGAGCUGGAGCGCAGUAACAAGGAGUGACUGAGAUUGUUCCAGCCUUGGGGAAGUGAGAAGGGACUCUAAGGGAGCAGAGGCAGUGGGGCUGACUGGUAAGAGUUAGGAACUUGAGGAAGAAUCAGAGUCUGUAUUUGGGAGAAGGCGUUGAGAGGGGUUACAUGGCAGGGUGGCCU
Molecule: long non-coding RNA, 1828 nt
Organism: Callithrix jacchus (white-tufted-ear marmoset)
Lineage: Eukaryota; Metazoa; Chordata; Mammalia; Primates; Cebidae
Source: Ensembl